UUUUAUGGAGAGUUUGAUCCUGGCUCAGGAUGAACGCUGGCGGCGUGCCUAAUACAUGCAAGUCGAGCGAACGGACGAGAAGCUUGCUUCUCUGAUGUUAGCGGCGGACGGGUGAGUAACACGUGGAUAACCUACCUAUAAGACUGGGAUAACUUCGGGAAACCGGAGCUAAUACCGGAUAAUAUUUUGAACCGCAUGGUUCAAAAGUGAAAGACGGUCUUGCUGUCACUUAUAGAUGGAUCCGCGCUGCAUUAGCUAGUUGGUAAGGUAACGGCUUACCAAGGCAACGAUGCAUAGCCGACCUGAGAGGGUGAUCGGCCACACUGGAACUGAGACACGGUCCAGACUCCUACGGGAGGCAGCAGUAGGGAAUCUUCCGCAAUGGGCGAAAGCCUGACGGAGCAACGCCGCGUGAGUGAUGAAGGUCUUCGGAUCGUAAAACUCUGUUAUUAGGGAAGAACAUAUGUAUAAGUAACUGUGCACAUCUUGACGGUACCUAAUCAGAAAGCCACGGCUAACUACGUGCCAGCAGCCGCGGUAAUACGUAGGUGGCAAGCGUUAUCCGGAAUUAUUGGGCGUAAAGCGCGCGUAGGCGGUUUUUUAAGUCUGAUGUGAAAGCCCACGGCUCAACCGUGGAGGGUCAUUGGAAACUGGAAAACUUGAGUGCAGAAGAGGAAAGUGGAAUUCCAUGUGUAGCGGUGAAAUGCGCAGAGAUAUGGAGGAACACCAGUGGCGAAGGCGACUUUCUGGUCUGUAACUGACGCUGAUGUGCGAAAGCGUGGGGAUCAAACAGGAUUAGAUACCCUGGUAGUCCACGCCGUAAACGAUGAGUGCUAAGUGUUAGGGGGUUUCCGCCCCUUAGUGCUGCAGCUAACGCAUUAAGCACUCCGCCUGGGGAGUACGACCGCAAGGUUGAAACUCAAAGGAAUUGACGGGGACCCGCACAAGCGGUGGAGCAUGUGGUUUAAUUCGAAGCAACGCGAAGAACCUUACCAAAUCUUGACAUCCUUUGACAACUCUAGAGAUAGAGCCUUCCCCUUCGGGGGACAAAGUGACAGGUGGUGCAUGGUUGUCGUCAGCUCGUGUCGUGAGAUGUUGGGUUAAGUCCCGCAACGAGCGCAACCCUUAAGCUUAGUUGCCAUCAUUAAGUUGGGCACUCUAAGUUGACUGCCGGUGACAAACCGGAGGAAGGUGGGGAUGACGUCAAAUCAUCAUGCCCCUUAUGAUUUGGGCUACACACGUGCUACAAUGGACAAUACAAAGGGCAGCGAAACCGCGAGGUCAAGCAAAUCCCAUAAAGUUGUUCUCAGUUCGGAUUGUAGUCUGCAACUCGACUACAUGAAGCUGGAAUCGCUAGUAAUCGUAGAUCAGCAUGCUACGGUGAAUACGUUCCCGGGUCUUGUACACACCGCCCGUCACACCACGAGAGUUUGUAACACCCGAAGCCGGUGGAGUAACCUUUUAGGAGCUAGCCGUCGAAGGUGGGACAAAUGAUUGGGGUGAAGUCGUAACAAGGUAGCCGUAUCGGAAGGUGCGGCUGGAUCACCUCCUUUCUAA
RNAcentral lists this ribosomal RNA (1557 nucleotides) under Staphylococcus aureus. RNAcentral's name for it is "16S ribosomal RNA". It matches the Rfam family "Bacterial small subunit ribosomal RNA". The record is from RNAcentral. Lineage: Bacteria; Bacillati; Bacillota; Bacilli; Caryophanales; Staphylococcaceae.